RNAcentral lists this long non-coding RNA (2915 nucleotides) under Triticum aestivum (bread wheat). RNAcentral's name for it is "long non-coding RNA (TAES_LNC008221)". The record is from RNAcentral. Lineage: Eukaryota; Viridiplantae; Streptophyta; Magnoliopsida; Poales; Poaceae.
AGAAUAACAAGCAAGUAUAAGCUUUAUAGUGUUUGGACCAUAGGCAAUAAUUCCAUUAGAUCAACUAGAAACAUAUGGUUUGAUUGCAUCUUUCAAAGACAUAGCAACAUGGCUGAUCACCCUAUGCAUUCAUUCACUGGCUCAUGAUUAGAUUUAUCCACAUAUCCAUUACAAGUUUUGCUAAUGAAAACAACAACUCUCGAAAAACAUAUGCAUCAUCCAUGGAACGAACAAAACAACCAAAAGACGGGUGUGGCAGCUCGAUAAUGCCCUUCCAAGGAGGCGAUCACGAAGGGGAAAGCAUUUACACCAUGCUACUUAUAUUUCCAGUAAGUAUUGCACAUGCAAAAGAUUGCAGCAAAGAGGGUCCCCUCUUCACUCGUGGGGAUGGACCAAUUCAAUAGGGAUUUUCCUAGCACACCCAUCAGGGAGCCCAGAUCAAUCAAGCCGCUCGAGCUGCCUUCUGAUGUAGACCGUACAUCGGCAUCUUGGUGGUGGGCGUCAAGCAGAAUCAUGGUGAUAUCCACGGUUGAUAGAUCUCUCCACGAGCUGCUCGAGUUUGCCUUCUCAUGCAGACCGUACGCCAGUGUCUUGGUCCUUGGGCGUCAAGCAGAAAAUCACAUGGUUGCAUCCCGUAGAAACUGUACAGGCAAAACAACAAAUAACCACAACUCAGUUGGUUAUCAAUAAGAAUAAACAAAUUCAGCCAAUUCAACAGCGAGUAGAGAUUUCCAUGCAUCAAUACCAUGAUUUCUAGAUAUUCCCGUCUUUCUCCAUCCUAUUCAAAUACAUACACAGAACACUCAUGCAAUGCCUCAGCCCCCCGACAAAAGCACCAAAGGAGAUGAUUUAAUUUGGUACAACUCAAGCAAAUCAAGGAUGGUCAAUUAAGAAAUUCAUCCAUGCACUCCAAAUCAAGUAUGAUCCAUUACUACACCGGAUGAUCCAUCAAGCCUAAGUGCCUAACCAAGGAUUACCAAACUAAUCCUACAAUAGCAUGAAAGAAACAUGUUCCACAACUAAAAUCAAACACAACAGAGCUAGCUAGCUGUUCACCACGAUUCUGAAAACAAAAGUUAAUCGAACACCAGGACAAAACUAGCUAAGCUCCUGAAACUAAUCCAAGACAGCCAACUUAAUCGUCACCGCCGAUGAUUUAUAUGCACUCAUUUCAUUUCCCAAACUGAGUUUGGAAGGUGAUGGAGACGCACAACAGAGCAUGCAUUUCAAUUCCCAAUUCGUUCAUUUCCCUCCAUUACACGAUUCUUGUGGCAACAGCGAUGUGCAGGCAUACAAGACAACAUCAGUCGGUCACUUUGCCUUUGGUGCCGUCUUAAUUAACCUACUGAUUGCGCAGAAACUAAACGUGAUGUUAAUGGUCUUGAUGUAUACCCGAUCCAGCAAAGACACCAAUGGUCGCUAGAUCAAGGAACACAUGAUAAACACAAUGUCACAGCCAAACAGAGCCAAAAGCACCUACUACAGAACAACAGGUGGCAUACCCUCAUCCUCAGAAAUGCAUUUUUCUCAGAAAAGAAUGCAAAUGUGAGACGGAAGAGCAAUCACUGUUGGGCACCUUUUGAAGUUAAGUAGGCCACACACAGAUGGAAUCGCUGGUGAACUUCUCCCCCGUGCACACCACACGACGGUCUCCAGAGUAUAUCACUCAAUGAUCGUCUAGCAAUUACGGUAAAACACCUAAGAAAAAUAUUAAAUAUAUUCAUCAACUAAUCCAUAAAUCACAGGUCACGUUACAUAACGGAUUGCCUGAAAAAUAUAUUAAAUAUAAUUAAACAAACAACUCAGUAAAUUACAAUGCUCUGAAGGAAGCCAACCAGCUAUUUUGCAACACUCUUAAGUGACAAUGUCAACAACAGCAACUACAAUUAUGCAUGAGUAGUAUAUAAACAAAGCAGAUCACAAUCACUUUGACUUGUUUGAGGAGUCUCAAAACUCUUACUUAACCUACUGAAAUAGACACCAUUGCAAAGCAAUAACAAUGUGAUUCUAUGCACUCAAUUUCAAUUCCCAAACUGAGCUUGGAAGGUGAUGGAUAUGUACAACACAACAAGCAUUUCAUUCCAAAAUUGUUCCUUUCCCUUCAUUCCACAUGCUUGUAGCAAUAGAAGCUAGAACAAGGAACACAAGAGAAACACCAUGUCACAACCAUACAGAGCCAAAAUUACCUACUACAGACUAACCUAUGGCACAUCCUCGUCACCUGAAAUGCAUUUUAGCUCUAAAAAAGAAUGCAGUGUUCCUCUCAGAAAAGACUGCAAACACACACCAUCGAUGACGGCAAGCAAGACAGAAGGGCACUCACCGUUAAGCGCCGUUUGCAGUUGAAGUAGACCUCACACUGACAUACUUGCUGGUGAGUUCUCCCCCACGCACACCACAUGGCGCUCUCUGGAGUAUAUGGCUCGACACUCAUCUAGAAGUUACAGUAAAAUACCUGACAAACAUAUUAAAUAUCCUCAGCAGCUGAUCCACAAAACACAGGUCACAUUAAAUAAAGAAUAGGAGGUCAUGACAUAUAUAAUUAACAAACCACACAGUGAACUACGAUGCUGUGAAACAAGCCAACCAAUCUGAAGGGACAGUGUUAGCAACAUGGGCAUCUGUGAGUGCAUCAGCUAGCACUACUAGUAUCAAAACUAUCAACAACUAGGUGCUCCCGAGUGCCAAUCAGGGUGGCAAUAUUUUUACAAGGAUACCAAGGGCGCCUCGCUAACAGACAGCCAAAAGGGCGACUAGUUCAACCCUAAAAGUAGACCAGACCACACAAAUAAUACUAACUACAUAGGUGUGGAGGCAGCGACGCAUGCGGAGGGGCGCGUGGAUUCCAUCACUGAAUCUAGGAAGAACUGCUUCACUGAAAACACAUGUUACGUGGCCCGUUAUCAGGAUUACAG